Sapajus apella (tufted capuchin) is the source of this 1447-nucleotide long non-coding RNA. RefSeq lists it as uncharacterized. Lineage: Eukaryota; Metazoa; Chordata; Mammalia; Primates; Cebidae. The record is from RefSeq and is a predicted model, not a curated record. The transcript has 2 exons.
GGACUGCCAGCAUACACCACCACACCCAGCUACUUUUUGUAUUUUUGUAUAGUGAGGGUUUUGUUGUGUUGGCCAGGUUGGUCUUGAAUUUCUGGACUUAAUCCUCUGAUGUUGGCCUUCCAAAGUGCUGGGAUUACAGGAAUGAGCCACCAGUACAUGGCCUCGUUCAUUUUAAAUUUGUGAAAUUUUAUAACGUGUCACAGCCAGGAAGAAUAGAGAAAAGAAAUGAAAGUACCUGUAGAUCCAGUGUCUCCAUAGCCUGACCAUAUCAGGGUUAUCUCUUAAGAUCUUACAUAGUUUUGUUUUUGGGGGGUCCUUUUGACCAGUUUCCUGGACUGAGAGAGGUCAGAAUCUCUUGGGCUCUUCUUCUUCAGGUCAGUCUUCUGUUUACAUUUUUGUUCACAGUACUUAAUUUCUCACCCUUAGAUUUAGCCUAAGCAUUAAUUAAUAUUACAACAAAUUCAGAAAUAGAUUUUUAAAUUUUUUUAUUAAGAGACAAUCUCUGUUGCUCUGGCUGGAGUACAGUGGCACAGUCCUAGCUCACUGCAGCCUAGGAUUCCUGGGCUCAAGCAGUCCUCCCACGUCAGCCCCCUAAGUAGCUGAGACUAUAGGUGCAUACCACCAUGCCCAGCUACAACAAUUACAAUUAAUAACUGAGGAGCUACUGUGGGCCCAGUCCUCCCAUUGAUAGCAUGUAUAAACUGGGGAUGAAAAUACAAGAACUACCUGAAGACACUAGAGAGUAAGCUAAGGGCAGGUGGAUACCCGGGAGGUGGGUAUUUCAGAAGAAGAGAAUUGCACUGGGGAAAUUUCUUAUUUCUGAUGGCCGUUAGCCUUGUGGCCAUUUCCCAGUUUUCUCCAUGCUGGGCAGCUAAAGCUGGAAUAGGCAGUCCUCAGGGCAGGCAUGACGAAGAGAAAUCCUAGAAAGGGAGAGGGCCAGUGGGGGUUGGGGGAGGCCCACUUUUAACCUGCCCCAAAGUCUGGCUGACCCCUGAACCACACGUCCAGCUAAGGCUAAAAGUUGAACUGAGAUUUUAGCUGCUGCUUACCGUGUGAGAGAAGUUUGUAGUUUGACUAUAACCAAGCUAACUGCACCGUAAGGGGAGUGGGGGGCACUUCUCUUUGGUGGAACAUAACAGAAUUCUGAGUUUCUAUAGCCUAUUAUUUGCAGUGUCUAUCUGGAUAACAGGAAAAUGUGACCUAUACUCAAGAAAAAAGAAAUAAAAAUCAACGAAUGGUUCUAAAAUGACCCAGUUAUUGGGAUUAAUAGAGAAGGAUUAUACAGCAGCUCUUUAAAAAUACUCAGGUGUUGUGGCGGGCGUCUGUAAUCUUAGGUGCUUGGGAGGCUAAGGCAGGAGAAUCACUUGAACCUGGGAGGUGGAGGUUGCAGUGAGCCAAGAUCACGCCAGUGCACUCCAGCUUGGGUGACAGAGUGAGACUCUGCCUC